ACGGGAGGCAGCAGUGGGGGAUAUUGCACAAUGGAGGAAACUCUGAUGCAGCGAUGCCGCGUGAGGGAAGACGGUCUUCGGAUUGUAAACCUUUGUCUUAAGGGACGAAAAAAUGACGGUACCUUAGGAGGAAGCACCGGCUAACUACGUGCCAGCAGCCGCGGUAAUACGUAGGGUGCGAGCGUUGUCCGGAAUUACUGGGUGUAAAGGGAGCGUAGGCGGGAUAGCAAGUUGGAUGUGAAAUGUAUCGGCUUAACCGGUACCCGCAUUCAAAACUGCCAUUCUUGAGUGAAGUAGAGGCAGGCGGAAUUCCUAGUGUAGCGGUGAAAUGCGUAGAUAUUAGGAGGAACACCAGUGGCGAAGGCGGCCUGCUGGGCUUUUACUGACGCUGAGGCUCGAAAGCGUGGGGAGCAAACAGGAUUAGAUACCCUGGUA
This 435-nucleotide ribosomal RNA is filed under the name uncultured Oscillospiraceae bacterium. Its description in RNAcentral is "bacterial SSU rRNA". It matches the Rfam family "Bacterial small subunit ribosomal RNA", at positions 341 to 792 of the family's 1533-position model. RNAcentral also lists the same sequence under 1 other name. Lineage: Bacteria; Bacillati; Bacillota; Clostridia; Eubacteriales; Oscillospiraceae. The record is from RNAcentral.